RNAcentral lists this ribosomal RNA (253 nucleotides) under uncultured bacterium. Its description in RNAcentral is "partial 16S ribosomal RNA". It matches the Rfam family "Bacterial small subunit ribosomal RNA", at positions 524 to 776 of the family's 1533-position model. The record is from RNAcentral.
GACAGAGGGGGCAAGCGUUGCUCGGAAUCACUGGGCGUAAAGUGCGCGUAGGCGGGCUGGCAAGUCGGUCGUGAAAUCCUUCGGCCCAACCGAAGAACGUCGGCCGAUACUGCCGUUCUUGAGGGAUGCAGAGGAGACUGGAAUUCCCGGUGUAGCGGUGAAAUGUGUAGAGAUCGGGAGGAACACCGGUGGCGAAGGCGGGUCUCUGGGCAUUUCCUGACGCUGAGACGCGAAAGCGUGGGGAGCGAACCGG